GGCUUAGAGUUUGAUCAUGGCUCAGGACGAACGCUGGCGGCGUGCCUAAUACAUGCAAGUCGAGCGAGCAGAACCAGCAGAUUUACUUCGGUAAUGACGCUGGGGACGCGAGCGGCGGAUGGGUGAGUAACACGUGGGGAACCUGCCCCAUAGUCUGGGAUACCACUUGGAAACAGGUGCUAAUACCGGAUAAGAAAGCAGAUCGCAUGAUCAGCUUAUAAAAGGCGGCGUAAACUGUCGCUAUGGGAUGGCCCCGCGGUGCAUUAGCUAGUUGGUAAGGUAACGGCUUACCAAGGCGAUGAUGCAUAGCCGAGUUGAGAGACUGAUCGGCCACAUUGGGACUGAGACACGGCCCAAACUCCUACGGGAGGCAGCAGUAGGGAAUCUUCCACAAUGGACGCAAGUCUGAUGGAGCAACGCCGCGUGAGUGAAGAAGGUUUUCGGAUCGUAAAGCUCUGUUGUUGGUGAAGAAGGAUAGAGGUAGUAACUGGCCUUUAUUUGACGGUAAUCAACCAGAAAGUCACGGCUAACUACGUGCCAGCAGCCGCGGUAAUACGUAGGUGGCAAGCGUUGUCCGGAUUUAUUGGGCGUAAAGCGAGCGCAGGCGGAAAAAUAAGUCUGAUGUGAAAGCCCUCGGCUUAACCGAGGAACUGCAUCGGAAACUGUUUUUCUUGAGUGCAGAAGAGGAGAGUGGAACUCCAUGUGUAGCGGUGGAAUGCGUAGAUAUAUGGAAGAACACCAGUGGCGAAGGCGGCUCUCUGGUUUGNCACUGACGCUGAGGCUCGAAAGCAUGGGUAGCGAACAGGAUUGGAUACCCUGGUAGUCCAUGCCGUAAACGAUGAGUGCUAAGUGGUGGGAGGUUUCCGCCUCUCAGUGCU
Molecule: ribosomal RNA, 878 nt
Filed under: uncultured bacterium
Lineage: Bacteria
Description: bacterial SSU rRNA
Rfam family: Bacterial small subunit ribosomal RNA
Source: RNAcentral